AGCCCUAAAUAUCUCAAGUUACAGGUUUGGGAUUUUGUUUGUUUCGUUGUUUAUAUAUACAUUUAUAUUCAUUUUGGAGUUUAUUCGCUCUGAAUUGGAAUUUAAUUCUUCUCAAUUUUUCUUUUUCUCAAUGUUUCUUCUCAAUUCAAGCCUUUCGGAGCAGUUUCUGUAAUUCAAGAUGGAGAUUGCACUUUCUAUAGUAAUUAAUCAUUGAUAAUCCUUGGAAAAAAAAGUCAUCGAUAAUCCUCUAUCAAUUUAAGAUGGAGAUGUAGUUUAGCAAUAGCAUAUUGCACGUUUAAAAUGUCUAAUAUUUCUU
This 316-nucleotide unclassified non-coding RNA is filed under the name Hevea brasiliensis (rubber tree). The record is from RNAcentral. Lineage: Eukaryota; Viridiplantae; Streptophyta; Magnoliopsida; Malpighiales; Euphorbiaceae.